GAAUAGGGGAGCCGAAGGGAAACCGAGUCUUAACUGGGCGUUAAGUUGCAGGGUAUAGACCCGAAACCCGGUGAUCUAGCCAUGGGCAGGUUGAAGGUUGGGUAACACUAACUGGAGGACCGAACCGACUAAUGUUGAAAAAUUAGCGGAUGACUUGUGGCUGGGGGUGAAAGGCCAAUCAAACCGGGAGAUAGCUGGUUCUCCCCGAAAGCUAUUUAGGUAGCGCCUCGUGAAUUCAUCUCCGGGGGUAGAGCACUGUUUCGGCAAGGGGGUCAUCCCGACUUACCAACCCGAUGCAAACUGCGAAUACCGGAGAAUGUUAUCACGGGAGACACACGGCGGGUGCUAACGUCCGUCGUGAAGAGGGAAACAACCCAGACCGCCAGCUAAGGUCCCAAAGUCAUGGUUAAGUGGGAAACGAUGUGGGAAGGCCCAGACAGCCAGGAUGUUGGCUUAGAAGCAGCCAUCAUUUAAAGAAAGCGUAAUAGCUCACUGGUCGAGUCGGCCUGCGCGGAAGAUGUAACGGGGCUAAACCAUGCAC
Molecule: ribosomal RNA, 541 nt
Filed under: Escherichia coli
Lineage: Bacteria; Pseudomonadati; Pseudomonadota; Gammaproteobacteria; Enterobacterales; Enterobacteriaceae
Description: partial 23S ribosomal RNA
Rfam family: Bacterial large subunit ribosomal RNA
Source: RNAcentral